AGGACGAACGCUGGCGGCGUGCCUAACACAUGCAAGUCGAACGGGACCAGGGGCAACUCUGGUUCAGUGGCGGACGGGUGCGUAACACGUGAGGAACAUGACUUUCGGCGGGGGAUAGCCGGCCCAACGGCCGGGUAAUACCGCGUACGACCUCUCGGGGACACCCCCGGUUGGUGAAAGCAGCAAUGCACCGAAAGAGUGCCUCGCGGCCUAUCAGCUAGUUGGUGGGGUAACGGCUCACCAAGGCGACGACGGGU
This 257-nucleotide ribosomal RNA is filed under the name uncultured soil bacterium. Its description in RNAcentral is "partial 16S ribosomal RNA". It matches the Rfam family "Bacterial small subunit ribosomal RNA", at positions 26 to 284 of the family's 1533-position model. The record is from RNAcentral.